This is a long non-coding RNA of Chenopodium quinoa (quinoa), 470 nucleotides long. RefSeq lists it as uncharacterized. NCBI's taxonomy places the organism in Eukaryota, Viridiplantae, Streptophyta, Magnoliopsida, Caryophyllales, Amaranthaceae. The transcript is spliced from 2 exons. The record is from RefSeq and is a predicted model, not a curated record.
UGUCAAAGCCUAUAGAGUACAAAAAAACCCAAAAAGUGAAAACCCUAUUUUUUCUUCUAGUCAUUUUCCCACUUGUUCAGCCGUUUUCAUCUCUAUUUUCCCAUCUUAUUCUCUCACCUCUCUCUUCUUUCUAUAUCUAGCUUGUUUAUCAAAAUUGCAACUUCAAACUUGUUUAUCUUCAAAUUUUUCGCCUACUACGGUGAAUGAUGAAGCCAAUACACCAAGCCCAUUUGAGAGCGCACCUCAAAGUCAGUAGCAAGACCAACUAGUCAAACCUGAUGAAGUUUUCCAAGAUCUAAUUUUUAUUUUGUUGGGAAUAUUGCCUCCUUAAGACAUUGAUUUUGAUUUUGGACUGUACAGUAAAUUAUUAUGUGUAAACUAUGGUUACUUUUACUUGAAUGUAUUUUUAUUAUGCUUAAAUUGAUAGGUUUAUACAGCAAAGUUUUAUGCAAAAUAACAAGUUAAAUAUA